Molecule: small nuclear RNA, 107 nt
Organism: Hippopotamus amphibius kiboko
Lineage: Eukaryota; Metazoa; Chordata; Mammalia; Artiodactyla; Hippopotamidae
Source: RefSeq, a predicted model, not a curated record
AUGCUGUCUUCAGCAGCACAUAUACUAAAACUGGAACAGUACAGAGAAGAUUAGCAUGGCCCCUGAACAAGGAUGAGACACAAAUCCAUGAAGUGUUUAAAAAAAAA